GUCCUACGGGACGCAGCAGUGGGGAAUAUUGCACAAUGGGGGAAACCCUGAUGCAGCGACGCCGCGUGAGCGAAGAAGUAUUUCGGUAUGUAAAGCUCUAUCAGCAGGGAAGAAAAAUGACGGUACCUGAGUAAGAAGCACCGGCUAAAUACGUGCCAGCAGCCGCGGUAAUACGUAGGUGGCAAGCGUUGUCCGGAUUUACUGGGUGUAAAGGGCGUGCAGCCGGGAGUGCAAGUCAGAUGUGAAAUCCCGCGGCUCAACCGCGGAACUGCAUUUGAAACUGUGCUUCUUGAGUGCUGGAGAGG
RNAcentral lists this ribosomal RNA (305 nucleotides) under uncultured bacterium. Its description in RNAcentral is "bacterial SSU rRNA". It matches the Rfam family "Bacterial small subunit ribosomal RNA", at positions 335 to 657 of the family's 1533-position model. The record is from RNAcentral.